Molecule: long non-coding RNA, 798 nt
Filed under: Panax ginseng (ginseng)
Lineage: Eukaryota; Viridiplantae; Streptophyta; Magnoliopsida; Apiales; Araliaceae
Description: long non-coding RNA (PGIN_LNC005104)
Source: RNAcentral
GAGAACCAAAUCACAAAAAUCACAACUUUUCUCUAUUUUCUGUUUUGUAAAAUAAUUUGACCCACAUCCAUCCCACCACCGUCUUCUUUCUUCAUACCAAGACCUAAAAUCAAUUAACAAUUCCCUUCUUUAUACAACAAAUAAACGGUGAGAGAAAAAAGAAGAUAAACAUAUCUUAGUGUGACCGACUUUAAGAGUACAAACUAGCUAGAGACGAUGGUUAGUAGUGAGAUCUAUGAUGCACGCAGAUCUAUGAUGCAGAUUUCCUUUUCAUUUUUCUUGGUGUUGGGUUUCAUGAUGUUGAUGUAGUUACUGAUGGUGGAAAACGGAUGAACAUUAGGUUAGGUUUUUUUAUUAAGUCUGCUUGCGUAAUGGAGUUACUGGGAAAAAAUUACUCAGCUCCCUCCUAGCGUCUCUUCCCUGUUCUCCUUGGCCUUCCCAUCCUCCCUUGCUAUCUCCACAGUGACAGAAUAAUCAAAGACUCUCAUUCUCUUAUCAAAUAUGUGCGAGAUGUUUUGUUAAUUGACAGAGAGAAUUCCCACUGAAUCAAAUUCCACUGAGCUUCAAAGCAUCACCUGGAGGUACUUCGCUCUUAAACAAUACCCUAGAUUGGUGAUGAAGAAUUUGAAUCACCCCUAAUUGGCAGAUAGAUUUGACUUGAGUAUCUUGUAGAAAUAAAAAAAUAAAAUCAGACAAAUUAAUUUAUCUAAUACAAACUAAUUGAAAUUGGAUUCAUGACUCAGUAGUGGAACAUUUUUAUUUGUUCAGAUCUGCUUGAUCUUUUGAUUUAUUUUUGUG